This 440-nucleotide ribosomal RNA is filed under the name uncultured bacterium. RNAcentral's name for it is "partial 16S ribosomal RNA". It matches the Rfam family "Bacterial small subunit ribosomal RNA", at positions 338 to 795 of the family's 1533-position model. The record is from RNAcentral.
CCUACGGGAGGCAGCAGUAGGGAAUAUUGCUCAAUGGGGGAAACCCUGAAGCAGCAACGCCGCGUGGAGGAUGAAGGUUUUAGGAUUGUAAACUCCUUUUGUUAGAGAAGAUUAUGACGGUAUCUAACGAAUAAGCACCGGCUAACUCCGUGCCAGCAGCCGCGGUAAUACGGAGGGUGCAAGCGUUACUCGGAAUCACUGGGCGUAAAGAGUGCGUAGGCGGGGUAAUAAGUCAGAUGUGAAAUCCUGUGGCUUAACUACAGAAAUGCAUUUGAAACUGUUACUCUGGAGUGUGGGAGAGGUAGGUGGAAUGCUUGGUGUAGGGGUAAAAUCCGUAGAGAUCAAGAGGAAUACUCAUUGCGAAGGCGACCUGCUGGAACAUUACUGACGCUGAUGCACGAAAGCGUGGGGAGCAAACAGGAUUAGAUACCCCAGUAGUC